AUUCCCCUAGUAACUGCGAGUGAAGCGGGAAAAGCUCAAAUUUAAAAUCUGGUGGCCUUUGGUCAUCCGAGUUGUAAUUUAGAGAAGCGUCUUCCGCGCUGAACCGUGCACAAGUCUCCUGGAAUGGAGCGUCAUAGAGGGUGAGAAUCCCGUCUUUGGCACGGAACAUCAGGGCUUCUGUGAUGCGCUCUCAACGAGUCGAGUUGUUUGGGAAUGCAGCUCAAAAUGGGUGGUGAACUCCAUCUAAAGCUAAAUAUUGGCGAGAGACCGAUAGCGAACAAGUACCGUGAGGGAAAGAUGAAAAGCACUUUGGAAAGAGAGUGAAACAGUACGUGAAAUUGUUGAAAGGGAAACGCUUGAAGUCAGUCGCGUCGACCGAGACUCAGCCUUGCCUCGGCUUGGUGUACUUCUCGGCUGAUGGGUCAGCAUCAAUUUUGAUCCUCGGAUAAUGUCAAGGGAAAGGUAGCACCUUUUUAGGUGUGUUAUAGUCCUUUGUCGCAUACGGGGGUUGGGAUUGAGGAACUCAGCACGCACCUCUCGGUGUCGGGGCCUUGGCCCACGCUACGUGCUUAGGAUGCUGGCGUAAUGGCUUUAAACGACCCGUCUUGAAACACGGACCAAGGAGUCUAACAUACCCGCGAGUGUUCGGGUGGAAAACCCGUGCGCGUAAUGAAAGUGAAAGUUGGGACCUCUGUCGUGGAGGGCACCGACGCCCGGACCAGACCUUCUGUGACGGCUCUGCGGUAGAGCGUGUAUGUUGGGACCCGAAAGAUGGUGAACUAUGCCUGAAUAGGGUGAAGCCAGAGGAAACUCUGGUGGAGGCUCGUAGCGAUUCUGACGUGCAAAUCGAUCGUCAAAUUUGGGUAUAGGGGCGAAAGACUA
Molecule: ribosomal RNA, 882 nt
Filed under: Russula bellissima
Lineage: Eukaryota; Fungi; Basidiomycota; Agaricomycetes; Russulales; Russulaceae
Description: Russula sp. KW-2021a partial large subunit ribosomal RNA
Rfam family: Eukaryotic large subunit ribosomal RNA
Source: RNAcentral